UUGAACCGGAGUCCGAAGACUCAAUCCAUUAAUUGAUUAAGAAGAAGAGAAUUUGCCCAGUUAAUUAAACGGAAAACCGGGCGAAAACCUUUACAACCGUGCAUGGCGCAAUCAAAAAGACCGCACACAUACACGCUGGCCGACCUGGCCACCCACACUCACUCCACGCGCUACAAAAAGAAAGUUGCCGUCGAAGUUGUACGCGGAAGUCAUCGUCAUCACACAAACAUUUCUCCUGAGCUGGCAACUCCGACUCCCCCCACCAACGCCCAAGAAUGGGUCCCAACUCCUGUAGACGCCCAAGUUCGCGUCUGCCCAUGCCAAACAGUCGACCACCCAUGCUAGUGACCAAGAGGCGCGAUUCUGAUGGCGAGCUUCAAAGGAGCAUAUGCAAAGAUUGCACCGAACAAGACCCACACAGACCGGACCACCCAUCACCAAGUCCUCG
Molecule: long non-coding RNA, 448 nt
Filed under: Brachypodium distachyon (stiff brome)
Lineage: Eukaryota; Viridiplantae; Streptophyta; Magnoliopsida; Poales; Poaceae
Description: long non-coding RNA (BDIS_LNC001281)
Source: RNAcentral